Molecule: ribosomal RNA, 809 nt
Filed under: Solibacillus silvestris
Lineage: Bacteria; Bacillati; Bacillota; Bacilli; Caryophanales; Caryophanaceae
Description: bacterial SSU rRNA
Rfam family: Bacterial small subunit ribosomal RNA
Source: RNAcentral
GCGGCGUGCCUAAUCAUGCAAGUCGUGCGGAAAUUUUAUUGGUGCUUGCACCUUUAAAAUUUUAGCGGCGGACGGGUGAGUAACACGUGGGUAACCUACCUUAUAGAUUGGGAUAACUCCGGGAAACCGGGGCUAAUACCGAAUAAUACUUUUUAACACAUGUUUGAAAGUUGAAAGACGGUUUCGGCUGUCACUAUAAGAUGGACCCGCGGCGCAUUAGCUAGUUGGUGAGGUAACGGCUCACCAAGGCAACGAUGCGUAGCCGACCUGAGAGGGUGAUCGGCCACACUGGGACUGAGACACGGCCCAGACUCCUACGGGAGGCAGCAGUAGGGAAUCUUCCACAAUGGACGAAAGUCUGAUGGAGCAACGCCGCGUGAGUGAAGAAGGAUUUCGGUUCGUAAAACUCUGUUGCAAGGGAAGAACAAGUAGCGUAGUAACUGGCGCUACCUUGACGGUACCUUGUUAGAAAGCCACGGCUAACUACGUGCCAGCAGCCGCGGUAAUACGUAGGUGGCAAGCGUUGUCCGGAAUUAUUGGGCGUAAAGCGCGCGCAGGUGGUUCCUUAAGUCUGAUGUGAAAGCCCCCGGCUCAACCGGGGGAGGGUCAUUGGAAACUGGGGAACUUGAGUGCAGAAGAGGAUAGUGGAAUUCCAAGUGUAGCGGUGAAAAUGCGUAGAGAUUUGGAGGAACACCAGUGGCGAAGGCGACUGUCUGGUCUGUAACUGACACUGGAGGCGCGAAAGCGUGGGGGAGCAAACAGGAUUAGAUACCCUGGUAGUCCACGCCGUAAACGAUGAGUGCUAAGUG